CAUUCCAAAACAACGGAAGCCCUACCUCUCUUCCGUCCUUGCGGCUCCAAUGACCGCGCCAGCGUGAAUCAGAAUUGCUUUAAGGCC
This is a small RNA of Paenibacillus sp. D9, 87 nucleotides long. It matches the Rfam family "BsrC". Rfam says of the family: The 301 nucleotide sequence from Kouji Nakamura has been trimmed to a highly conserved ~85 nucleotide long core to form this family. The record is from Rfam. NCBI's taxonomy places the organism in Bacteria, Bacillati, Bacillota, Bacilli, Caryophanales, Paenibacillaceae.